Molecule: ribosomal RNA, 221 nt
Filed under: Planctomycetaceae bacterium
Lineage: Bacteria; Pseudomonadati; Planctomycetota; Planctomycetia; Planctomycetales; Planctomycetaceae
Description: partial 23S ribosomal RNA
Rfam family: Bacterial large subunit ribosomal RNA
Source: RNAcentral
CGUAGCUCUGGUGUUCCAGUUGUCACGCUAGUGGCACGGCUGGGUAGCUAUCUACGGAAUGGAUAAACGCUGAAAGCAUAUAAGCGUGAAGUCGGCUCCAAGAUUAGGUUUCGUUGUAGCAAUACGAGAGUCCCCUGGUAGACGACCAGGUUGAUAGGUCGCGUGUGUAAGCCCCGUAAGGGGUUCAGCUAAGCGAUACUAAAGGACGAAUGCUUGAUCAC